AAGGAUCAUUAUUGAAUAAACCUGAUGUGACUGUUAGCUGGCUUUUCGAAGCAUGUGCUCGUCCAUCAUCUUUAUCUCUCCACCUGUGCACAUUUUGUAGUCUUGGAUACCUCUCGAGGAAACUCGGAUUUUAGGAUCGCCGUGCUGUACAAGUCGGCUUUUCUUUCAUUUCCAAGACUAUGUUUUUAUAUACACCAAAGUAUGUUUAUAGAAUGUCAUCAAUGGGAAUUUGUUUCCUAUAAAAUUAUACAACUUUCAGCAACGGAUCUCUUGGCUCUCGCAUCGAUGAAGAACGCAGCGAAAUGCGAUAAGUAAUGUGAAUUGCAGAAUUCAGUGAAUCAUCGAAUCUUUGAACGCACCUUGCGCUCCUUGGUAUUCCGAGGAGCAUGCCUGUUUGAGUGUCAUUAAAUUCUCAACCUUCCAACUUUUAUUAGCUUGGUUAGGCUUGGAUGUGGGGGUUUGCGGGCUUCAUCACUGAGGUCGGCUCUCCUUAAAUGCAUUAGCGGAACUUUUGUCGACCGUCUAUUGGUGUGAUAAUUAUCUACGCCGUGGAUGUGAAGCAGCUUUAUGAAGUUCUGCUUCUAACCGUCCAUUGACUUGGACAAUUUUGACAAUUUGACCUCAAAUCAGGUAGGACUACCCGCUGAACUUAA
This 653-nucleotide ribosomal RNA is filed under the name Laccaria trichodermophora. Its description in RNAcentral is "eukaryotic LSU rRNA". The stretch from base 251 to 404 matches the Rfam family "5.8S ribosomal RNA". The record is from RNAcentral. Lineage: Eukaryota; Fungi; Basidiomycota; Agaricomycetes; Agaricales; Hydnangiaceae.